This 253-nucleotide ribosomal RNA is filed under the name uncultured Coprococcus sp. Its description in RNAcentral is "partial 16S ribosomal RNA". It matches the Rfam family "Bacterial small subunit ribosomal RNA", at positions 524 to 776 of the family's 1533-position model. Lineage: Bacteria; Bacillati; Bacillota; Clostridia; Lachnospirales; Lachnospiraceae. The record is from RNAcentral.
UACGUAGGGGGCAAGCGUUAUCCGGAUUUACUGGGUGUAAAGGGAGCGUAGGCGGCGACGCAAGUCAGAAGUGAAAGCCCGGGGCUCAACUCCGGGACUGCUUUUGAAACUGCGUUGCUAGAUUGCGGGAGAGGCAAGUGGAAUUCCUAGUGUAGCGGUGAAAUGCUUAGAGAUCAUACAGAACACCGAUUGCGAAGGCAGCUUACCAAGCUACUUCUGACGUUGAGGCACGAAAGCGUGGGGAGCAAACAGG